Molecule: ribosomal RNA, 465 nt
Filed under: uncultured bacterium
Lineage: Bacteria
Description: bacterial SSU rRNA
Rfam family: Bacterial small subunit ribosomal RNA
Source: RNAcentral
CCUACGGGAGGCAGCAGUGGGGAAUUUUGGACAAUGGGCGAAAGCCUGAUCCAGCAAUGCCGCGUGCAGGAUGAAGGCCUUCGGGUUGUAAACUGCUUUUGUACGGAACGAAAAGUCUCGGGAUAAUACCCUGGGACCAUGACGGUACCGUAAGAAUAAGCACCGGCUAACUACGUGCCAGCAGCCGCGGUAAUACGUAGGGUGCAAGCGUUAAUCGGAAUUACUGGGCGUAAAGCGUGCGCAGGCGGUUAUAUAAGACAGAUGUGAAAUCCCCGGGCUCAACCUGGGAACUGCAUUUGUGACUGUAUAGCUAGAGUACGGUAGAGGGGGAUGGAAUUCCGCGUGUAGCAGUGAAAUGCGUAGAUAUGCGGAGGAACACCGAUGGCGAAGGCAAUCCCCUGGACCUGUACUGACGCUCAUGCACGAAAGCGUGGGGAGCAAACAGGAUUAGAUACCCUUGUAGUC